Molecule: ribosomal RNA, 214 nt
Filed under: Escherichia coli
Lineage: Bacteria; Pseudomonadati; Pseudomonadota; Gammaproteobacteria; Enterobacterales; Enterobacteriaceae
Description: partial 16S ribosomal RNA
Rfam family: Bacterial small subunit ribosomal RNA
Source: RNAcentral
UUAAAUUGAAGAGUUUGAUCAUGGCUCAGAUUGAACGCUGGCGGCAGGCCUAACACAUGCAAGUCGAACGGUAACAGGAAGAAGCUUGCUUCUUUGCUGACGAGUGGCGGACGGGUGAGUAAUGUCUGGGAAACUGCCUGAUGGAGGGGGAUAACUACUGGAAACGGUAGCUAAUACCGCAUAACGUCGCAAGACCAAAGAGGGGGACCUUCGG